UCGGCAUAAGCCCCUUGAGUGUACGUGUGUGUCACUGGGGUAAGGGGGUUACCCGGGGAUAUCUAAAAUUCCUUUCUAAAAAUCUACAAAUAUCUUCCGCAUCCUAAUCAAUAUGCAGGAAUCCCUUUAAGAACCAAGUGAAGGAUCUGUCACAUAAUUGCUAUUUGGAGAGAAUUUCUGCAUGAAAAGGAACUUCGAGGAUCAGUUUUUGGACUCAAGGAUUGAAGGCAUGAUUUAUUGUUUAUGUAGUACAGUCCCAUGUACUGCUUUUGAGUGACUGAUGAUCAACUCAUAACAGAGUUUUAGCUGACACACUGCUGGCUUGGAACACUCACACUAUUGCGAGAGAAGCUAUGAUGGCAAAGAGACUAUCUGCAUACCAGCUGAAAUCACUACAUCGAGUGAUACUAGACCUUCAGGAAGGCUUUCCUUUAAACAUACUUAGAGGAGCUUCUGGGAGAGGAAAGAGCAGAGAGAAUCCUAAUAUUGUUAUAGAGGAGGAUCAGAGAGUAGCUGAUUGUCUCCAUAAACCAGUCAUGGUAAACGAAGUGCUGUCAUUCUUUGCUCCACAAGAAAAACAGGGAUUGCUGAAAAUGACUAUUAAUCAUCAUCAACAUCGUCUUCACGGACAUUUCAACUUGUUACAGUGACUCUUGUUAUUCAUCGUGCUUCAACAUCAGUUUCAUCAUCGCCAUCAUUGUGAACUUAUCUUCGCAAGCCAACUUGGAUUAUCAUUGGAUUUUACUUUGUAUUAUUAUCGCAAUCUCAAUAGACAAUCUUCCCGAACCAACUGGGAUUUUUAUUUGGAUAUAGGAUUUCACUUCGGAUAUAUUGCACAUCUGUCACCUCAAGAGAUGUAAAUGUAAGAUCAAUAUUUAUUUAUGCUUUGUAUAUGGUUAAUUAUUUCCUCUAUUAAAAAAAAGGGGAAUCAAAUUUCAAAUUAUUUAAUUGUUAUUUGUUGCAGUAACGUAACAAAUAAUUU
Long non-coding RNA from Lytechinus variegatus (green sea urchin), 982 nucleotides. RefSeq lists it as uncharacterized. Lineage: Eukaryota; Metazoa; Echinodermata; Echinoidea; Temnopleuroida; Toxopneustidae. The record is from RefSeq and is a predicted model, not a curated record. The transcript has 5 exons.